UUGGAGUAAACUUCGGAGGCGGGCGAAACGGGUGAGUAACAUGUUGAAGUAAUCUGCCCUUCACUUCGGGAUAGCUUCGGGAAACCGAAAUUAAUACCGGAUACGACGCACUCCUGCAUGGGAUGUGUGUGGAAAGUUUUUUCGGUGGAGGAUGUGCUCGCGGCCUAUCAGCUUGUUGGUGGGGUAAUGGCCUACCAAGGCUUCGACGGGUAGCCGGCCUGAGAGGGUGACCGGCCACACUGGGACUGAGACACGGCCCAGACUCCUACGGGAGGCAGCAGUGGGGAAUAUUGGACAAUGGGCGGAAGCCUGAUCCAGCAACGCCGCGUGAGGGAUGACGGCCUUCGGGUUGUAAACCUCUUUCAGUACCGACGAAGCGCAAGUGACGGUAGGUACAGAAGAAGCACCGGCCAACUACGUGCCAGCAGCCGCGGUAAUA
RNAcentral lists this ribosomal RNA (439 nucleotides) under uncultured Nocardioides sp. RNAcentral's name for it is "bacterial SSU rRNA". It matches the Rfam family "Bacterial small subunit ribosomal RNA", at positions 73 to 525 of the family's 1533-position model. The record is from RNAcentral. Lineage: Bacteria; Bacillati; Actinomycetota; Actinomycetes; Propionibacteriales; Nocardioidaceae.